CGUCUCAGUUCGGAUUGUAGUCUGCAACUCGACUACAUGAAGCUGGAAUCGCUAGUAAUCGCGAAUCAGAAUGUCGCGGUGAAUACGUUCCCGGGUCUUGUACACACCGCCCGUCACACCAUGGGAGUCAGUAACGCCCGAAGCCGGUGACCCAACCAAACGGAGGGAGCCGUCGAAGGUGGGACCGAUAACUGGGGUGAAGUCGUAACAAGGUAGC
Molecule: ribosomal RNA, 217 nt
Filed under: uncultured bacterium
Lineage: Bacteria
Description: partial 16S ribosomal RNA
Rfam family: Bacterial small subunit ribosomal RNA
Source: RNAcentral